This 494-nucleotide ribosomal RNA is filed under the name uncultured bacterium. RNAcentral describes it as "partial 16S ribosomal RNA". It matches the Rfam family "Bacterial small subunit ribosomal RNA", at positions 28 to 506 of the family's 1533-position model. The record is from RNAcentral.
GACGAACGCUGGCGGCGUGCCUAAUACAUGCAAGUAGAACGCUGAAGGAGGAGCUUGCUUCUCCGGAUGAGUUGCGAACGGGUGAGUAACGCGUAGGUAACCUGCCUGGUAGCGGGGGAUAACUAUUGGAAACGAUAGCUAAUACCGCAUAACAGUAGAUGUUGCAUGACAUUUGCUUAAAAGGUGCAAUUGCAUCACUACCAGAUGGACCUGCGUUGUAUUAGCUAGUUGGUGAGGUAACGGCUCACCAAGGCGACGAUACAUAGCCGACCUGAGAGGGUGAUCGGCCACACUGGGACUGAGACACGGCCCAGACUCCUACGGGAGGCAGCAGUAGGGAAUCUUCGGCAAUGGACGGAAGUCUGACCGAGCAACGCCGCGUGAGUGAAGAAGGUUUUCGGAUCGUAAAGCUCUGUUGUAAGAGAAGAACGAGUGUGAGAGUGGAAAGUUCACACUGUGACGGUAUCUUACCAGAAAGGGACGGCUAACUACGU